Molecule: long non-coding RNA, 742 nt
Organism: Medicago truncatula (barrel medic)
Lineage: Eukaryota; Viridiplantae; Streptophyta; Magnoliopsida; Fabales; Fabaceae
Exons: 3
Source: RefSeq, a predicted model, not a curated record
UCACGUCUUACUUCUCUCUAUUUAUAUUCACAAGUCUGCCACUUAACUUUCCACCUCUCACCCCAAUCUCAUCUCAGUUACCCCGCUAGGGUUUUACCCUACUAGGGUUCACUUUCUCUUACUCGCCGCAGCCUUGGCUUCAAAUUAAUAGUAUAACAGUUGAUAUUUGAGGCGAGCGAGUGCAUGGUCUACUAUGUGCUAUUAUUUGCUCUCUUUGGUGGGAGUUUGAGCUAUACAAGUGUAAUUUCCUUGAUUAAAUAUUCUAAAGAAGGCCCCCAAUUUGUGAAGGAUGAUUUGAAUUUUUCCUUCUGCAAUGCUCCCAAGCCAAUCUAAGGGAUAUCAAUGUUUUACUUUUAAUAGAUGAUAUUUUGAGGAUUAGUAAAGCAUGAUCCUGGUUUGUAGCAUGGUUUGUGGUUUGUAGCAUGGUUUGUGGUGUUGCCUUACAAGCGAGAGCCUAUGGACGGAAGAAGUCAUCGGAAUAUAGGGAAAUGAUCAAAUAUUAUGUGACGAGAACUGUUGGAGAGAACAAUUAUAAAGUUUUGAUGAAGUUGAAGGAGGAAGAGUAGUUCAAGCUGCUUCAUGUUGAAAGCAAUUGCAAGAUUGAUUUGCUUUUAGUUUUGAGAAUGAGCAAUUGUUAAUUUCCACUGUAUUUUUUACAUGAUGAAGUUUUAAGAACGAGCAAUUGUUAAUUUCCAUUGUUAUUUUUACAUGAUGAAUAAGAAUACACCAACUCUAACUUUUU